Molecule: long non-coding RNA, 761 nt
Organism: Oncorhynchus tshawytscha (Chinook salmon)
Lineage: Eukaryota; Metazoa; Chordata; Actinopteri; Salmoniformes; Salmonidae
Source: Ensembl
GGACAAGGACAGGGUUAUAGUGACAGGGUUAGGGAUAUAGUGACAGGGUUAUAGUGACAGGGUUAGGGAUAUAGUGACAGGGUUAUAGUGACAGGGUUAGGGAUAUAGUGACAGAGUUAUAGUGACAGGGUUAGGGAUAUAGUGACAGGGUUAGGGUUAUUGUGACAGGGACAGGGUUAUAGUGACAGGGUUAGGGUUAUAGUGAUAGGGUGAGGGUUAUAGUGACAGGGUUAGGGCUAUAGUGACAGGGUUAGGGUUAUAGUGACAGGGACAAGGACAGGGUUAUAGUGACAGGGUUAUAGUGAAAGGGUUAGGGAUAUAGUGACAGGGUUAGGUUAUAGUGACAGGGUUAUAGUGACAGGGUUAGGGUUAUAGUGACAGGGUUAGGGUUAUAGUGACAGGGUUAGGGUUAGUUUGACAGGGUUAGGGAUAUAGUGACAGGGUUAGGGUUGUAGUGACAGGGUUAGGGAUAUAGUGACAGGGACAGGGUAAUAGUGACAGGGUUAGGUUAUAGUGACAGGGUUAGGGUUAUAGUGACAGGGUUAGGGUUAUAGUGACAGGGUUAUAGUGACAGGGUUAGGGUUAUAGUGACAGGGACAGGGACAGGGUAAUAGUGACAGGGUUAGGGUUAUAGUGACAGGGUUAGGGUUAUAGUGACAGGGUUAGGGUUAUAGUGACAGGGUUAGGGUUAUAGUGACAGGGUUAGGGAUAUAGUGACAGGGUUAGGGUUAUAGUGACAGGGUUAGGGUUAUAGUGACAGG